ACUCCUACGGAGGCAGCAGUGGGGAAUCUUGCGCAAUGGGCGAAAGCCUGACGCAGCAACGCCGCGUGGGGGAUGACGGCCUUCGGGUUGUAAACCUCUUUCGACACCGACGAAGCCAUCUUCGGGUGGUGACGGUAGGUGUAGAAGAAGCACCGGCUAACUACGUGCCAGCAGCCGCGGUAAUACA
Molecule: ribosomal RNA, 187 nt
Filed under: uncultured Saccharopolyspora sp.
Lineage: Bacteria; Bacillati; Actinomycetota; Actinomycetes; Pseudonocardiales; Pseudonocardiaceae
Description: partial 16S ribosomal RNA
Rfam family: Bacterial small subunit ribosomal RNA
Source: RNAcentral